Molecule: ribosomal RNA, 253 nt
Filed under: uncultured bacterium
Lineage: Bacteria
Description: partial 16S ribosomal RNA
Rfam family: Bacterial small subunit ribosomal RNA
Source: RNAcentral
UACGUAGGGUGCAAGCGUUAAUCGGAAUUACUGGGCGUAAAGCGUGCGCAGGCGGUUAUGCAAGACAGAUGUGAAAUCCCCGGGCUCAACCUGGGAACUGCAUUUGUGACUGCAUGGCUAGAGUGCGGCAGAGGGGGAUGGAAUUCCGCGUGUAGCAGUGAAAUGCGUAGAUAUCGGGAGGAACAUCGAUGGCGAAGGCAAUCACCUGGGCCUGAACUGACACUGUGACACGAAAGCGUGGGUAGCAAACAGG